RNAcentral lists this ribosomal RNA (429 nucleotides) under uncultured bacterium. RNAcentral describes it as "bacterial SSU rRNA". It matches the Rfam family "Bacterial small subunit ribosomal RNA", at positions 355 to 776 of the family's 1533-position model. The record is from RNAcentral.
UGGGGAAUUUUGGACAAUGGGCGCAAGCCUGAUCCAGCCAUGCCGCGUGAGUGAAGAAGGCCUUCGGGUUGUAAAGCUCUUUCAGAUGAGAAGAAACGGUUUUGGCUAAUAACUGAGACUAAUGACGGUAUCAUCAGAAGAAGCACCGGCUAACUACGUGCCAGCAGCCGCGGUAAUACGUAGGGUGCGAGCGUUAAUCGGAAUUACUGGGCGUAAAGCGUGCGCAGGCGGUUUUGUAAGACAGACGUGAAAUCCCCGGGCUUAACCUGGGAACUGCGUUUGUGACUGCAAGGCUAGAGUAUGGCAGAGGGGGGUAGAAUUCCACGUGUAGCAGUGAAAUGCGUAGAUAUGUGGAGGAAUACCGAUGGCGAAGGCAGCCCCCUGGGUCAAUACUGACGCUCAUGCACGAAAGCGUGGGGAGCAAACAGG